RNAcentral lists this ribosomal RNA (618 nucleotides) under Triticum aestivum (bread wheat). Its description in RNAcentral is "partial small subunit ribosomal RNA". Lineage: Eukaryota; Viridiplantae; Streptophyta; Magnoliopsida; Poales; Poaceae. The record is from RNAcentral.
AAUGGUGAGAGUUUGCCUCAUCCGCACCGUGUGGCUGGGAAGAUUAAAGCCUAUAUUGAUUUCAUCUUAUUGAACAAUUUCAGAUCGAAGCAAUCCACUAGGCGUGAGAGCCAAACAUCAGUCCAGAAAUGGUCUCCGCCGCCGGAGGGCUCGGUGUUGAUAAAUGUUGAUGCUGCAAUCUUCUCACAGUCAUCACGAAUGGGAGUAGGCAUAGUAAUAAGAAGUCACCUGGGACUAGUGCUGGCAUCCAAAAGGAGGUAUGUGGACCAAGUGGUUAACCCUCAACUGGCGGAGGCCAUUGCUAUGCGUUGUGCACUAGAAUUUGCUGAAGAAGCGGGCUUCCAAAGAAUUGUUGUCGCAACUGAUUGCGCCACUUUGGUCAGCAAAGUGACAAGUGCUGCGAUGGACAGAUCUCAAACAAGUGUCAUAGUUUUUGAUAUUAAGAGUAGGGCUUCAAAGUUUGUAUCUUGUUUGUUUACUCAUGUUAGUCGGUCAUGUAAUAUGGCAGCUCAUGUUCUGGCAAAAUCAUGGGAACAUGAUCUUGGGUCAUGUUGGUUCGAUGAAGUUCCUGAGAUAAUCAGGAACAUUGUAUGUAAUGAACAAUCCCUGUUUGCAUAA